This 641-nucleotide long non-coding RNA is filed under the name Capsella rubella. Its description in RNAcentral is "long non-coding RNA (CRUB_LNC004647)". The record is from RNAcentral. Lineage: Eukaryota; Viridiplantae; Streptophyta; Magnoliopsida; Brassicales; Brassicaceae.
GUAGUAUUACUUAGUUUUGAUUGAUUGAAGCCCAUGAAAAAUUAGAAAAGAUAGGAUGUACGUAUAUUAUUAAUUAGUCUAUAAAGAAUAUAAGAUGAUCGAUCAUCGUAUGUGUUAGGUUUCGAUAAAACAAAUAAGGUGGUAAAAUGAAAAAAAAAAUAAAAAAAAAUUGGGUUUAGGACAUGUAAAAUCUUCUUUUUAUAUGAUGUAUAGUUAUAUAUGUUGAGUAAAAUUGGCACGGUAGACUUUGGUAACGAUCGGCGUGAUCUGAUCAUUCACGUUGAAGAGAGAGGUAGUAGUUAGUUAGCACGUGGCUGCUUCAACCCCGCGCGGCCGUGGCACUUUAGGUUGUCAACUGUAAAAUACGGUUGACUUUUUACUACUGCCAUCGCUAAUUUAUUACAAAGAAACGUUUCUCCAUUAAUAAUGUAUUGGUUACUACAAAAUUGAGCUUCAUUUUUUAACUCUUUUUUUUUUUUCUGUAAAAUUUGUAGAGGAUUGAAGAAUUUAACAUUCGGGAAGAGAUCGAGAGAAGUUAGUACGACUAGAAACAUUUAUUCGUCAAACAUGUUUGUAUGUAUGUAUUGUAUAUGUGGGUGCAUGUCUAUGCACCUAUUAUGUAUCCAAUGAAUGCAUGUUAU